GGCCUUGUGGCGCAAAGGUAGCGUGUCUGACUCCAGAUCAGAAGGUUGUGUAUUCAAUUCAAUUUUAUUUGUAUAGCGCCA
Merluccius polli (Benguela hake) is the source of this 81-nucleotide non-coding RNA. Lineage: Eukaryota; Metazoa; Chordata; Actinopteri; Gadiformes; Merlucciidae. The record is from the annotation of a GenBank genome assembly.